RNAcentral lists this ribosomal RNA (301 nucleotides) under uncultured bacterium. RNAcentral describes it as "partial 16S ribosomal RNA". It matches the Rfam family "Bacterial small subunit ribosomal RNA", at positions 509 to 807 of the family's 1533-position model. The record is from RNAcentral.
CAGCCGCCGCGGUAAUACGAAGGGUGCAAGCGUUAAUCGGAAUUACUGGGCGUAAAGCGCGCGUAGGUGGUUUGGUAAGAUGGAUGUGAAAUCCCCGGGCUCAACCUGGGAACUGCAUCCAUAACUGCCUGACUAGAGUACGGUAGAGGGUGGUGGAAUUUCCUGUGUAGCGGUGAAAUGCGUAGAUAUAGGAAGGAACACCAGUGGCGAAGGCGACCACCUGGACUGAUACUGACACUGAGGUGCGAAAGCGUGGGGAGCAAACAGGAUUAGAUACCCCAGUAGUCCCUGUCUCUUAUAC